This 709-nucleotide long non-coding RNA is filed under the name Homo sapiens (human). Its description in RNAcentral is "HSALNT0342643". Lineage: Eukaryota; Metazoa; Chordata; Mammalia; Primates; Hominidae. The record is from RNAcentral.
CUCUUUCCAUCUGGGGCAUAGUGGGCAGCAAGUGUUGUAGGGGAGUAGCCUUUGAUCCUUUGUUACUGGGGCGUAGGGAAAUGGUUUUUUUUUUUUUCUUUUUUGAUCCAGCUUUAGGAAGUUAGCACAAAUCGGCUUUAGGUUCCCUGACCCCAGACCCAGGUGUUUCUUGAUCCAGCUUUAGGACGUUAGCACAAAUUAGCCUUAGGCUACCUGCCCCCAGACCCCGGUAUUUUCGUUUUUAUGAUCCAGCUUUAGGAAAUUAGCGGGAAUUGGCUCUCAAUUCCCUGCCUCCAGACCUUAUUCUCCUGCCUCAAGAUCUCUGAGAUAGCUGUGGUCGAAUGGAAGGGAGAAUUCAACCCUGCAAGUUAGGAGACCAUUGCUAGUACUGGUUCAGUCACUAAGGACCUGUGGUGGUAUUGCAGAAUGUCCCUUCACCAACGGUUCCUCUGUUUGUACGGUAAGUCCCAUCAUGUCUAUGGACUUCAGUUUCCAGACAUGAAACACAAGAGGCUUGGACGAGAUUAGAAAUCAAGAACUCGAAUGCGUAUGGUCAGAGCCACGAGAGUUUCCAUAAAGGAACACAACCAUGUGGACAACUUGAUUAUGCCCUACAAAACUAUAGGUAUUCUGACCUGCUCUGUACAGAGGGAUACUAGGGCUUUGGGACAUUAAGCGACGUGCUCAAGAUCAUUUUGAGUCACGCAAG